GCAGGCUGCAACUCGCCUGCAUGAAGUCGGAAUUGCUGUAAUCGCAGAUCAGCAUGCUGCGGUGAAUACGUUCCCGGGCCUUGUACACACCGCCCGUCACACCAUGGGAGUCGGUAACACCCGAAGUCGGUAGCCUAACCGUAAGGAGGGCGCCGCCGAAGGUGGGAUUGAUGACUGGGGUGAAGUCGUAACAAGGUAAC
RNAcentral lists this ribosomal RNA (200 nucleotides) under uncultured bacterium. RNAcentral's name for it is "partial 16S ribosomal RNA". It matches the Rfam family "Bacterial small subunit ribosomal RNA", at positions 1300 to 1500 of the family's 1533-position model. The record is from RNAcentral.